UAAAAAUAGCUGGUGUCAAAUAAUAAAAUAAUUCGGAUAAUGUACUCAAUGUGAUGAAAUCACCAAAUAUGAAACGGAGUUUAUGUACAUAUUCAUGUACAGCUACUACACUGUGAGCAAUCCGGUAUAGUCAUGCAGGUAUUGAUUUCUCUAUAUUGAAAUUGUUACCGCUUGGUAUUAAAAUUAUACCGGUCCGUAAAAAUUUGAUACCAAUGUUGUAAAACUUUAAUACCGGGUUAUUACUAUAUACACGGUAUUAUUUAUCAAUACCACGUUGAUAGAGUUAUAUAUGAAUUAUUUUAUUUUUAUUAUUUUAUUUUUAUUCCAAGUAUUAUUUAAAUACUGGAUUUCUAAGAGUGUGUGCCCAUUUGGAAAGGAUGUAUUGUUACUUUUUUGAAAUAUUUCGGUUGUUGAGGCGUUAAUCUCGCACAUUUCAGCGAUUCACAUUUUGCAAUAUUUGUUAAAAAUAAUGCAUGCCGCUUAAAAACAAGUGACGCGAGGAUGACAACAAUUUGUGCGUGAAAUUAAGUUUCGCAUUUUGCAUGCAUGUUUUUGCAUUAUUUUUAGUAUUUUAUAAAUAUUUACAUACAUAUUACGUUAUAAUAAGCCCUUAAAAUACUACGGUGCCUAAAAAGAUUUACAAUUAUGAAUAUAAAUAUGUAUGCAUAAAUACAUGAGGUCAGAUGCUAUUAAAAUUUCAUAACAAUUGCAUGCAAAAGUUAUAUCGUCGAUUUAAAACCCAAUUCUCUCAAUGUUUAAAUCACUGGUCCUAAAAACAGUUCAACUUCACGCCCUCGCCAUUCCACAACUAGCCACACUUUACAUAUGUAAACAGCUUUUCAGAAUUUGUUAUAAAAAAUAAAACAAUGCAAAAAUUACUAAAAUUUGUGUUCACUUUAGAAUCCACCUCUCGCCAAAAAAUGGUGCGGGUCAUGCCAUCCCUCAUUUUAAUGACUCUCUUUCUCUUGCUGUUUGUCCAGUUAAGCAGCCAAGAACCAAAAGAACACUGGGGACCAUGGUUUUUGGCGUAUGAUCGCCGAUAUCAAAACUGCAUCCCUGGCGGAAGCCUGUGCCACAUGCGGAACGAGAUUUCGGUUAAGCGAUGCUGCCACCACGGGGACGUCCUCUGCAGGCAAAUUGACCGAAAUUGCAACUCUUAUCAGACCACGUGUCAAGGAUACUGCAUCUCCAGCCCGACAUUCCGGAGAUACGGAUGAAAUGCGAAGUUAUAAUUUCCAACUAAACCAUGCUCUCCCCACGUGUCGCAAUCCUGUUGGUCGUCGUCGUCAUGGCAACGGUCAUGUUUUCCGGAGAAUCGGAUGCCCUUCCAGAUCCACAUCCGCCAUUGUUUGGGCGAUCGAUGGCACAGCGGCGUUGGUGGUACUGGCGGCGUGGCUGCACUUCGGGCGGGUUUAAUUGUCACGUGGACCGCGGUCAGACCUUGGCGCCGUGUUGCCAUCCGAAUGUUUGCCGUUAUGAUAUGGACAAAUGCGAUUCACACAAACGAGUCUGUGUCGGCCAUUGCAUAAACGUUUGGGGAUGAAAAUAAAAUAAUGCAAAG
Folsomia candida is the source of this 1561-nucleotide long non-coding RNA. RefSeq lists it as uncharacterized. Lineage: Eukaryota; Metazoa; Arthropoda; Collembola; Entomobryomorpha; Isotomidae. The record is from RefSeq and is a predicted model, not a curated record. The transcript is spliced from 4 exons.